RNAcentral lists this ribosomal RNA (408 nucleotides) under uncultured bacterium. RNAcentral's name for it is "partial 16S ribosomal RNA". It matches the Rfam family "Bacterial small subunit ribosomal RNA", at positions 28 to 526 of the family's 1533-position model. The record is from RNAcentral.
GACGAACGCUGGCGGCGUGCUUAACACAUGCAAGUCGAACGACGUGGCGAACGCGGGUGUAAUACGUGGGUAACUUUCCCUCCUUUUUGGGAUAAGCCUUGGAAACCGGGUCUAAUACCGUAUAAAGGGGGAUGGGCUCGCGGCCUAGCAGCUUGUUGGUGGGGUGGUGGCCUAGCAAGGCGGUGACGGGUAGCCGGGCUGAGAGGGUGAACUGCGACAUGGGGACUGAGAUACGGCCCAGACUCCUAAGGGAGGCAGAAGGGGGGGAUAUGGCACAAUGGGCGAAAGCCUGAUGCAGCGAGGCCGAGGGGGGGAUGAAGGCUUGAGGGUUGUAAACGUCUUUCGCGAGCGAACGGGUAGGUGGAGAAGAAGCGCCGGCUAACUACGUGCCAGCAGCCGCGGUAAUAC